GGAGGUAGGGAACCUAUUAAAUCUAGUCAAAUUAUUAAUUCUAGAUGUUUGUUGUUUUAUGGGUUUAAAAGUAAAUAGCAAUCCUAAUUGAGCAAGUCUAUUGCUCGACUAACAAGAUGAUUGGGGGUGUAACUUAUUGGAAGAUAUUAGAGGCAGGGUUUCUAUUCAGGUGUUGGAGAUUGCAAUCCUAUAGAUGUCUAACAGUUGCAUGCAGGAUAUAUUAGAGCUCAACUCUUUAAUCACAGUGAUCAGCGAUGGCAAUGUUUCACUGGUUGACUAACUAGAUCUUGAAUCUCAACUGUCGUCUUUUGAUCACAAGAAAGUGUCGAUUGAUGAUCCUAUAUGGAUAUCGAUCAAUACACCUUUCACAAAUAUCGAUCGAUUGUCAGAAGACAAUAUCGAU
RNAcentral lists this long non-coding RNA (403 nucleotides) under Brassica napus (rape). Its description in RNAcentral is "long non-coding RNA (BNAP_LNC021330)". The record is from RNAcentral. Lineage: Eukaryota; Viridiplantae; Streptophyta; Magnoliopsida; Brassicales; Brassicaceae.